AGAGUUUGAUCCUGGCUCAGAUUGAACGCUGGCGGCGUGCCUUACACAUGCAAGUCGAACGGCAGCGCGGGGCAACCUGGCGGCGAGUGGCGAACGGGUGAGUAAUAUAUCGGAACGUACCCUGGAGUGGGGGAUAACGUAGCGAAAGUUACGCUAAUACCGCAUACGAUCCAAGGAUGAAAGCAGGGGACCGCAAGGCCUUGUGCUCCUGGAGCGGCCGAUAUCUGAUUAGCUAGUUGGCGGGGUAAAAGCCCACCAAGGCAACGAUCAGUAGCUGGUCUGAGAGGACGACCAGCCACACUGGAACUGAGACACGGUCCAGACUCCUACGGGAGGCAGCAGUGGGGAAUUUUGGACAAUGGGCGCAAGCCUGAUCCAGCAAUGCCGCGUGAGUGAAGAAGGCCUUCGGGUUGUAAAGCUCUUUUGUCAGGGAAGAAACGGUGGGGGCU
RNAcentral lists this ribosomal RNA (449 nucleotides) under uncultured bacterium. Its description in RNAcentral is "bacterial SSU rRNA". It matches the Rfam family "Bacterial small subunit ribosomal RNA", at positions 8 to 461 of the family's 1533-position model. The record is from RNAcentral.